AUGCAGACUUGUUUAGAAAUAAAUAGUUUUAAGUGUUUAAUAAUCUGUUAAGAAAAAUAUUUUUAAGUAUGUAGAAUUAAUUAGUAUAGUAAAAUUUAAGGCUUGGACUAUAGUUCAAAAGUACCGUGAGGGAAAGUUUAAAUAAGAAUGAAAAUUUAAUUAUGGAAAAGAAAAUAUUAAAACUUGUACCUUUUGUAUCAGGGGGAAUUUAAAUUUUCUGGAUAAGUUGGAUAUCCCGAAAAAAGAAUAGCUAAAAAAUUAAGAUUGUCUUAGUCGUAAAUAAGUUUUUAAUAGUUUUUUAGUGGUGAAAUACUAAUCGAGUCUUUUUAUAUCUGGUUGUUUCAGAAAGAAAUUUAAUUUUGUUCGAAUGUGAUUAAAAUUAAUUCGAGUGAAUAAUUGGAGGGAAAAGCUUCUGGUUAAUAAAUUAAGUAUAGGGUAAUAUGAGUAAAUCUAUUUUAACUAAGCUUAGAAGUAGUUAUGUUAGUAAAGUGUUUUAACUAAAAUUUUUAAAUCGUUGCUAUUUAUGUCACCCUUGCUUUGAUAAGUAUGAAAUUUUAACAGUAAAUGUUUUAUUGUUAGUAAUAAUGAUUUUAUUAGUAGAAAUGUCUUUGUGAAUAAAUUGGUUAAGUAAAAUAAAAAUUAAUUUUUGUAAUUAAGUUAGAGAUGCAUUAAAGGAACUCGGCAAACCGAAUUUCUGCCUGUUUAUCAAAAACAUGUCUUUAUGAAUAAUUUAUAUAAAGUCUAGCCUGCCCAGUGAUGUUUAAGUUUAACGGCCGCGGUAGUAUGACCGUGCUAAGGUAGCAU
This 804-nucleotide ribosomal RNA is filed under the name Panulirus versicolor (painted spiny lobster). RNAcentral describes it as "partial 16S rRNA". Lineage: Eukaryota; Metazoa; Arthropoda; Malacostraca; Decapoda; Palinuridae. The record is from RNAcentral.